Molecule: long non-coding RNA, 2457 nt
Organism: Panthera uncia (snow leopard)
Lineage: Eukaryota; Metazoa; Chordata; Mammalia; Carnivora; Felidae
Exons: 3
Source: RefSeq, a predicted model, not a curated record
UAGAAACAUAUCCUCGCGUGACGUCCUGGUAACACUCAGUACUCCUAUGUCAGUGCAAUAGUGUGUACACACACACCCCACCCCCGUUCUCACAUCACCCCCGAUUCCACUGGUGAGGCCCCCCGCAUGCCUGGUUCAUGAUCCUUCUAAACUCUCCCAAGUCCUAGCCAUAUCAACACUUUCCCUUACAACAUCCAUUCGAACACAGCGCCCUCCCUCCCCGCAUCUGAAUACAUCUACCCAGUUGGCAGAGAGCACAUUUCUCCCUGAGCGAGCAGUAUUGUGAAUUUUAUCUUCUCUUCCAGAAAUCAGUUCGUCUUCGUUGCAGCAGAUGAAAUUUCUUGUAACACCUCUGCAGUUACGGACGAGUUUAUGCUGCCGACCCCUACCACCACACACUUGCUCCAGCCCCCACCUACAGCGUUGGUGCCAUGAAUGCUUUUGCACCCCUGACUGAUGCCAAGACUAGGAGCCAUGCUGAUGAUGUGGGUCUCGUUCUUUCUUCAUUGCAGGCUAGUAUAUACCGAGGGGGAUACAACCGCUUUGCUCCAUACUAAAUGACAAAACCAUUAAAACCUUCCAGUGUGGGGAGAAAGGAAGCUUUCCGAGGCCUGGGUGUUGCAAUACAUGCAGUAACGCAUCAUUUUAGCAGCCCUAAAGAUUAAAAAAAAAAAAAAAAAAAAAAAAGAGGGAAAAAAUUACAUUUUUUAUCUUAUACCUCAGAUAUUUUGUUCUGUGUAUUUUAAUAUUGUGGGUCUUUAAUUUCUGAAGGUUCCGUAGUUGGUUGCUGGCUGUAGGAGUUUUUCUGUGGUUGAAAUAGAGAGAUGCUAGCUAUGAAUUAAAACUGGAUUAGGGCCAUAUCCAGAGUGCUAUAUCAUGUAAAUGAAUUAUAUAUGCUGAAUAUCAAGCUACUGGGGUUAUCAGCUGUUUGGGAAGAGUGUAAGUGACUACAGUAGUCAUUUUUUUUUUUUUUUUUACUGCAUCUGCAUUAUUUUAUUUUAUGAAUGGGGAAGGGUGGGAGGGUCUUAGGGGAUCAGGACUGGGAUUUGGGCUAAAAGGAAAAAAAUAUAUAGUAACUGAUCAAUCUAAAUGACCCACUGCACCAACAAUCAUAUAUCAGCGGUUCUAAGUUGCUCAUUGAGUUCAAGCCAAAGGUUCUGUUAUUAAGGGGGUGCUUCUAAAAGCACUUUUUGCAUCCAAGUUGAAUGAAGCUGUACAAACCCAUCCUUUAAACCAUUCCACCCGGCAGUAUUCAGCUUCUUAACCAGCCGCUAGUUAUUUAGGCAAAAACUGCUAGUUAGGCCAUCAACAAGCAUUCUUUUUAUAUUUCUUCCAGUAUAAUAAAUUAUUGAUAUCAUUGCUGACUUUUAUAUUAUGGGAGGGAAAAAAUAACAUUAAUAAAAAGGUGAUAAAAAGCACUGUUUCUAUUUUUUUCUUUUUUUCCAAAAAAAAGAAAGUAAUAAAAACUUAAAUCCUUUGUACCAGUUAAAAAAAAAAAUGUAUAAAAUUUACAUCUGUGCAGUGGAGUUGUUAAGUUCUAGAAACAGUCUAUGAAGCUUUAGUUUUAGCCUAGUAAACAACUGUUAGAGACAGAUGUAUAAUUUUUAUGGAAUUACAUGAUAAUCAUAUUCGGAUUUAUAGAAGCAUUUUACAAGUAUUGCAGUCAUUGAGUAGAGAUAAUCAUGGUAUUUUCAUCAGCUUGGUACUUUUUGAAACAUGACCGUGUUGUGUGAGCAACCUGCAAUUUUUCAGUCCGUGAGAUCCUGCCCUCCUACUCUUCCUGGUCCCCAACGAUUAUCUCAAACCAGGAUCUUUAGUUCCAUCUCCAAGGCCCAGGACACUUGUCAGAAGGAAGCAAAAAAAAAAAACAAAACAAAAAACAAAAAAAAAUAGACCCGCCCUCUUCAUCCCGGAAGAACAAAGUCCCCCGCCUGUGAAGCAGGGCCAGAGUGACACAGCCGAAAAAUUGCAGUUUGUCUGUACUUCUGUUUGAACUCUUUCCAUGUUGUCCUGUUUACAAAAGUUAACCUAAGUUGGGGUAUCUGUCACGGGUCUUCCUGUUUUUUGUAUUUAAAUAAAAAACAAAAAAAACAGCGGCAAGCUGCCCGGGUAGUUGGCCGCCAUAGUUCAACCUUCACGUGUUCAGUGCCGGCCCCGUGCAGGCGCGCACUUCAGUAAGUUAUCAACUCACCGCUGUGAACCUGCCAACCCGCUGUAACAACUCUGCUUUCAAACAAAACCAAACAAAAAAAAAAAAAAAAGAAAAAAGUAAAAAAAAAAAAAAAAGUGUUUGUGAUCCAGCUUCCUCUCGGUCAUCCUACGUGCAUGCAGUAAGAUUGGUUGGAUAUUAAACCAUCAAUAAAGUUUCACAAGAUUUGAAAACAAAGUUUCUGUAGCUUCGAUAUCUAAGACAGAGUCUCGUUAUCUUGAAAAGAGAGAAGGGGGAGGGGGGAACCG